GCCCGAGGCUGUGGGCGGUCCGUGCUGACAGCCUGAGCAAGCUGGUGGAGCCGGGGCAGGCCCUCUCCCAUGGCCCCUCUCCCGGAGCACCUCCCAAGGAACGCCCCCCAGCCCUUCCCACACCUGCUGCUCACAAAAGGUGGGGGUCCUCCGGGAACCCUAGACGACAAAGCAGAGAUGGGCACAGGACCUUGCGUGGGACGCCCUGCGGGCCUCCUCUAGAUGGGGAUCCCUCUGCUCUCAUUGUCCGAAGGAUGACGGGCCUUAGGAUGAAGAAGAGCCCCUGUCUCCAAGGGCCAUCGCCUCCGUUCUGGGCAC
Callorhinus ursinus (northern fur seal) is the source of this 318-nucleotide non-coding RNA. Lineage: Eukaryota; Metazoa; Chordata; Mammalia; Carnivora; Otariidae. The record is from RefSeq and is a predicted model, not a curated record.